UACGUAGGGCUCUAGCGUUAUCCGGAAUUACUGGGCGUAAGGGGUGCGUAGGUGGUUUUUUAAGUCAGAAGUGAAAGGCUACGGCUCAACCGUAGUAAGCUUUUGAAACUAGAGAACUUGAGUGCAGGAGAGGAGAGUAGAAUUCCUAGUGUAGCGGUGAAAUGCGUAGAUAUUAGGAGGAAUACCAGUAGCGAAGGCGGCUCUCUGGACUGUAACUGACACUGAGGCACGAAAGCGUGGGGAGCAAACAGG
Molecule: ribosomal RNA, 252 nt
Filed under: uncultured bacterium
Lineage: Bacteria
Description: partial 16S ribosomal RNA
Rfam family: Bacterial small subunit ribosomal RNA
Source: RNAcentral